This is a non-coding RNA of Parelaphostrongylus tenuis, 71 nucleotides long. NCBI's taxonomy places the organism in Eukaryota, Metazoa, Nematoda, Chromadorea, Rhabditida, Metastrongylidae. The record is from the annotation of a GenBank genome assembly.
ACAUCGGUGGUGCAGUCGUAGCACGCGUCCCUGGUAUGGAUGAGGCGCGGAUUCGACUCCCGUCUGAAGUU